GGGAAAAUUGUGAUGGAAAUAACCCCAAAAGAGCAGAAAAAUUUGGGAUGGAACAAACCCCAAAAAGAGGAGAAAAUUGGGAUGAAAUAAACCCCAAAAAGAGGAGAAAAUUUGAAUGGAAAAAACCCCAAACGAGGAGAAAAAAUUGGGAUGGAGAAAACCCCAAAAGCGGAGAAAACUGGGAUGGAGAAACAAUUGGGAUUGAACAAACCCCAAAAAAAGGAGAAAAUUGGGAUGGGAAAAAAAACCAAAAAAUGAGAAAAUUGGGAUGGAAAAAAACCCAAAAAAAGGAGAAAAUUGGGAUGGAAAAAAAACCAAAAAAGGAGAAAAUUGGGAUUGAACAAACCCCAAAAAAGGAGAAAAUUGGGAUGGAAAAAACCCCAAAAAAAGGAGAAAAUUGGGAUGGAAAAAAACCCAAAAAAAGGAGAAAAUUGGGAUGGAAAAAAACCCAAAAAAUGAGAAAAUUGGGAUGAAAAAAAAAAAACAAAAAAUGAGAAAAUUGGGAUGGAAAAAACCAAANUAAAUAUAAUAUCAUCUCUUUCAAAUAGAUAGAAAAUGUAAAAUAUACUAUUAUUAAAUAUAAUU
RNAcentral lists this long non-coding RNA (585 nucleotides) under Zonotrichia albicollis (white-throated sparrow). Its description in RNAcentral is "lncRNA (ENSZALG00000003173.1)". The record is from RNAcentral. Lineage: Eukaryota; Metazoa; Chordata; Aves; Passeriformes; Passerellidae.